GAUGAACGCUGGCGGCGUGCCUAAUACAUGCAAGUCGAACGAGUUCUCGUUGAUGAUCGGUGCUAGCACCGAGAUUCAACAUGGAACGAGUGGCGGACGGGUGAGUAACACGUGGGUAACCUGCCCUUAAGUGGGGGAUAACAUUUGGAAACAGAUGCUAAUACCGCAUAGAUCCAAGAACCGCAUGGUUCUUGGCUGAAAGAUGGCGUAAGCUAUCGCUUUUGGAUGGACCCGCGGCGUAUUAGCUAGUUGGUGAGGUAAUGGCUCACCAAGGCGAUGAUACGUAGCCGAACUGAGAGGUUGAUCGGCCACAUUGGGACUGAGACACGGCCCAAACUCCUACGGGAGGCAGCAGUAGGGAAUCUUCCACAAUGGACGCAAGUCUGAUGGAGCAACGCCGCGUGAGUGAAGAAGGCUUUCGGGUCGUAAAACUCUGUUGUUGGAGAAGAAUGGUCGGCAGAGUAACUGUUGUCGGCGUGACGGUAUCCAACCAGAAAGCCACGGCUAACUACGUGCCAGCAGCCGCGGUAAUACGUAGGUGGCAAGCGUUAUCCGGAUUUAUUGGGCGUAAAGCGAGCGCAGGCGGUUUUUUAAGUCUGAUGUGAAAGCCCUCGGCUUAACCGAGGAAGCGCAUCGGAAACUGGGAAACUUGAGUGCAGAAGAGGACAGUGGAACUCCAUGUGUAGCGGUGAAAUGCGUAGAUAUAUGGAAGAACACCAGUGGCGAAGGCGGCUGUCUGGUCUGUAACUGACGCUGAGGCUCGAAAGCAUGGGUAGCGAACAGGAUUAGAUACCCUGGUAGUCCAUGCCGUAAACGAUGAAUGCUAGGUGUUGGAGGGUUUCCGCCCUUCAGUGCCGCAGCUAACGCAUUAAGCAUUCCGCCUGGGGAGUACGACCGCAAGGUUGAAACUCAAAGGAAUUGACGGGGGCCCGCACAAGCGGUGGAGCAUGUGGUUUAAUUCGAAGCAACGCGAAGAACCUUACCAGGUCUUGACAUCUUUUGAUCACCUGAGAGAUCAGGUUUCCCCUUCGGGGGCAAAAUGACAGGUGGUGCAUGGUUGUCGUCAGCUCGUGUCGUGAGAUGUUGGGUUAAGUCCCGCAACGAGCGCAACCCUUAUGACUAGUUGCCAGCAUUUAGUUGGGCACUCUAGUAAGACUGCCGGUGACAAACCGGAGGAAGGUGGGGAUGACGUCAAAUCAUCAUGCCCCUUAUGACCUGGGCUACACACGUGCUACAAUGGAUGGUACAACGAGUUGCGAGACCGCGAGGUCAAGCUAAUCUCUUAAAGCCAUUCUCAGUUCGGACUGUAGGCUGCAACUCGCCUACACGAAGUCGGAAUCGCUAGUAAUCGCGGAUCAGCACGCCGCGGUGAAUACGUUCCCGGGCCUUGUACACACCGCCCGUCACACCAUGAGAGUUUGUAACACCCGAAGCCGGUGGCGUAACCCUUUUAGGGAGCGAGCCGUCUAAGGUGGGACAAAUGAUUAGGGUG
RNAcentral lists this ribosomal RNA (1492 nucleotides) under Lacticaseibacillus paracasei. Its description in RNAcentral is "bacterial SSU rRNA". It matches the Rfam family "Bacterial small subunit ribosomal RNA". The record is from RNAcentral. Lineage: Bacteria; Bacillati; Bacillota; Bacilli; Lactobacillales; Lactobacillaceae.